GUGAGGAAUUUUCCGCAAUGGGCGAAAGCCUGAUCCAGCAAUGCCGCGUGGGUGAAGAAGGCCUUCGGGUUGUAAAGCCCUUUUGUACGGAAAGAAAUCCUGGUGGUUAAUACCCGCCGGGGAUGACGGUACCGUAAGAAUAAGCACCGGCUAACUUCGUGCCAGCAGCCGCGGUAAUACGAAGGGUGCAAGCGUUAAUCGGAAUUACUGGGCGUAAAGCGUGCGUAGGUGGUUUCUUAAGUCUGUCGUGAAAGCCCUGGGCUCAACCUGGGAAUGGCGAUGGAUACUGGGAGGCUAGAGUGCGGUAGAGGAUGGCGGAAUUCCCGGUGUAGCGGUGAAAUGCGUAGAGAUCGGGAGGAACAUCUGUGGCGAAGGCGGCCAUCUGGACCAGCACUGACACUGAGGCACGAAAGCGUGGGGAGCAAACAGGAUUAGAUACCCGGGUAGUCC
RNAcentral lists this ribosomal RNA (450 nucleotides) under uncultured bacterium. Its description in RNAcentral is "partial 16S ribosomal RNA". It matches the Rfam family "Bacterial small subunit ribosomal RNA", at positions 354 to 796 of the family's 1533-position model. The record is from RNAcentral.